This is a small nucleolar RNA of Rosa chinensis, 115 nucleotides long. RefSeq annotates it as small nucleolar RNA snoR104. NCBI's taxonomy places the organism in Eukaryota, Viridiplantae, Streptophyta, Magnoliopsida, Rosales, Rosaceae. The transcript has a single exon. The record is from RefSeq and is a predicted model, not a curated record.
AGGGAGCAUCCAAAAGAUGGGAUGUUAACUGAUACCUUCCUACAGAAAACCUCUAGUAUUUCCUGCUUGCAGUAUUUGAGCAAUAUCUAGAAGUCUCUGAUUCUUAGAGAAAUGA